RNAcentral lists this ribosomal RNA (250 nucleotides) under uncultured prokaryote. RNAcentral's name for it is "partial 16S ribosomal RNA". It matches the Rfam family "Bacterial small subunit ribosomal RNA", at positions 524 to 773 of the family's 1533-position model. The record is from RNAcentral.
UACGUAGGUGGCAAGCGUUGUCCGGAUUUACUGGGUAUAAAGGGAGCGCAGGCGGGAUUGCAAGUCAGCGGCGAAAUGCAUGGGCCUAACCCAUGAACUGCCGUUGAAACUGUAAUUCUUGAGUGAAGUAGAGGCAAGCGGAAUUCCGAGUGUAGCGGUGAAAUGCGUAGAUAUUCGGAGGAACACCAGUGGCGAAGGCGGCUUGCUGGGCUUUUACUGACGCUGAGGCUCGAAAGUGUGGGUAGCAAAC